GGCUGGUUUGAUUGCAGUGAUAAUUAUCUAUAAUUAUAUAAUAAUUGAUUGAUUGCAGCCAGUUAGAGAUUUCUUCAUUUUUUUCUCUGUUCCCACUGUUUCAUUUAACUAACCUAUA
Y RNA from Monodelphis domestica (gray short-tailed opossum), 118 nucleotides. It matches the Rfam family "Y RNA". Rfam says of the family: Y RNAs are components of the Ro ribonucleoprotein particle (Ro RNP), in association with Ro60 and La proteins. The Y RNAs and Ro60 and La proteins are well conserved, but the function of the Ro RNP is not known. Lineage: Eukaryota; Metazoa; Chordata; Mammalia; Didelphimorphia; Didelphidae. The record is from Ensembl.